RNAcentral lists this ribosomal RNA (520 nucleotides) under uncultured Glomeromycotina. Its description in RNAcentral is "SSU rRNA". It matches the Rfam family "Eukaryotic small subunit ribosomal RNA", at positions 569 to 1095 of the family's 1831-position model. The record is from RNAcentral. Lineage: Eukaryota; Fungi; Glomeromycota.
AGCAGCCGCGGUAAUUCCAGCUCCAAUAGCGUAUAUUAAAGUUGUUGCAGUUAAAAAGCUCGUAGUUGAAUUUCGGGGUUCUACCGUUGGUCAGGCUAUUGUCUGUACUGGCGUGUAGAAUUUCUACCUUCUGGGAACUAUCAUGUUAUUAAUUUAGCGUGGUAGGAAACCAGGACCUUUACCUUGAAAAAAUUAGAGUGUUCAAAGCAGGCUUAUGUCUGAAUACAUUAGCAUGGAAUAAUAAAAUAGGACGGUGGUCCUGUUUUGUUGGUUUCUGAAUCACCGUAAUGAUUAAUAGGGAUAGUUGGGGGCAUUAGUAUUCAAUUGUCAGAGGUGAAAUUCUUGGAUUUAUUGAAGACUAACUACUGCGAAAGCAAUUUGCCAAGGAUGUUUUCAUUAAUCAAGAACGAAGUUAGGGGAUCGAAGACGAUCAGAUACCGUCGUAGUCUUAACCAUAAACUAUGCCGACUAGGGAUCGGACGAUGUUAACUUUCUUGACUCGUUCGGCGUCCUUACGGGA